Long non-coding RNA from Panthera uncia (snow leopard), 416 nucleotides. RefSeq lists it as uncharacterized. NCBI's taxonomy places the organism in Eukaryota, Metazoa, Chordata, Mammalia, Carnivora, Felidae. The transcript is spliced from 3 exons. The record is from RefSeq and is a predicted model, not a curated record.
UGGUGGGGUUGGGGGUGGGAAGAGUUAUAGAGCUCCUUCUGGGAUCCGUAAGUCCCCAGAUAUCGGAAGGGACACCAGCCUUUACAGUAAUGACAGCCAGAUUCCAGCUCUCGUAUGAAGCUACCAGCUGCCUUGGAAAGGACCCACAAAUAAGAGGUAGUCUGUGUCUGCUCAACUCAGCCUCCAAGAGAACAUGUUCCAAAACCCUGCGGCAAGAGGGUGAGAACGAUUAAGACAACAUUUUGCGAUACUUACCAGGUGCUGUCUGCAUCCUUCCAACUCAUGGUGACUUUGGGAAUGGCCGUCCAGAGGCUCAGGAGUGGAGAUGCUGCUGUCAGGCACGGAGGGUAAGUAACUUUGGAGUGAAGUCUGUGAGCUUGUUAGCUGUCCGUCACUUGCCAUGGGCCACUGGAGGG